CCGGACUACCAGGGUAUCUAAUCCUGUUUGCUCCCCACGCUUUCGCGCCUCAGCGUCAGUGCCGGACCAGAUGGCCGCCUUCGCCACCGGUGUUCUUCCCAAUAUCUACGAAUUUCACCUCUACACUGGGUAUUCCACCCUCCUCUUCCGGCCUCCAGCCGUGGCGUCUCGAGUGCCGUUCCGGAGUUGAGCUCCGGGCUUUCACACCCGACUGCCACAGCCGCCUACGCGCCCUUUACGCCCAGUGAUUCCGAACAACGCUAGCACCCUCCGUCUUACCGCGGCUGCUGGCACC
Molecule: unclassified non-coding RNA, 295 nt
Filed under: uncultured Ascomycota
Lineage: Eukaryota; Fungi; Ascomycota
Description: sequence contains ITS1
Source: RNAcentral